RNAcentral lists this ribosomal RNA (433 nucleotides) under uncultured bacterium. RNAcentral describes it as "partial 16S ribosomal RNA". It matches the Rfam family "Bacterial small subunit ribosomal RNA", at positions 29 to 507 of the family's 1533-position model. The record is from RNAcentral.
AACGAACGCUGGCGGCAUGCCUAACACAUGCAAGUCGAACGAGACCUUCGGGUCUAGUGGCGCACGGGUGCGUAACGCGUGGGAACCUGCCCUUAGGUUCGGAAUAACUCCCCGAAAGGGGUGCUAAUACCGGAUAAUGUCUUCGGACCAAAGAUUUAUCGCCUUUGGAUGUGCCCGCGUUGGAUUAGCUAGUUGGUAGGGUAAAAGCCUACCACGGCGACGAUCCAUAGCUGGUCUGAGAGGAUGAUCAGCCACACUGGGACUGAGACACGGCCCAGACUCCUACGGGAGGCAGCAGUGGGGAAUAUUGGACAAUGGGCGAAAGCCUGAUCCAGCAAUGCCGCGUGAGUGAUGAAGGCCUUAGGGUUGUAAAGCUCUUUUAACCGGGAUGAUAAUGACAGUACCGGGAGAAUAAGCUCCGGCUAACUCCGUG